This 1100-nucleotide long non-coding RNA is filed under the name Malus domestica (apple). RNAcentral's name for it is "long non-coding RNA (MDOM_LNC007713)". Lineage: Eukaryota; Viridiplantae; Streptophyta; Magnoliopsida; Rosales; Rosaceae. The record is from RNAcentral.
AGAGAUUAAGAGGAGAGAGAAUCCCCCUCCUUAUAAGUGAGUGCCUAAGCAUUAUCCUAUUUGCAAUGGUGCUCGAGUGAGAGGAGCUGACUUAGACUUGUAGUCCCACUUUUAGUUACCUGAUAGCAAUGGUGCUCGAGUGAGAGGAGCUGACUUAGACUUGUAGUCCCACUUUUAGUUACCUGAUAGUCCCAACGUAGGUUUUGCCUUUUUGUUGUUCUGUAUCCUUAGUAGCUGAUCUCAUUAUCUCAUAUAUAAUAUUCCGACUUGACCUUUUGAUAUGGCUAACCAGACCAAGCAAUAAGGCCUCCAAAAAGCUUUGCCCUAAUGUUUUGGGCCUUUUGGCUGGUUGGAUUGCAACAGGUUAGAACCAAAUAUCUCCAAAGAGAUGGUUGUUGACAUGUUGUGGCUGGUUAAUCUUGAUGAAUUAUCUCCAAAUCGUAUUGAUUUGUCCUAAUUUUGUUUUCUUCUUGGUAAAUUAGACCUCCUGCAUGUCAUGUGCAUGUUUUUGGGGUAUUUUAUUCUAGCAGUUUUUUUGUUUGCAUGCAUGUUCAAAGUUGGUUGAUUUCAGUCUCGGUUUUUAAAUUAUUUUUGUAAAAAAAAAUUAAACCAGAAAAGAGCACAAAGCCGCAUACAACAUGCAAGUACUAAUUUAUUGGGAUUAUUGCAAAAGUGUUUGCAAGUGCAACAUGCAAGCUGGUUUUAUGUUGGAUAUAAUUUUAUUUUUAUGUGAAUAAUUUAUAAGUAAUAAUGAAACAUACUAAUUAUAGUUUAUCCCUUUAUGAUGUCAAGUACCAAGGAUGUGAUUGCAAGGUACAAAUCACAUACUGGUGGGGAAAAAUCGGAUCAAAUCACGCUUCACCAACUGCAGGUUAUUCAGUUCAAUAUUAGUUUUUUUUUUUCAUCUUUGCUCUAGAAUUUACAUUUUUAAUGGUACAACAAUUAAUUGUGCCAAGUGAGUGUAAUAUUUUCUUUGAUCUGCACUUGGAGCAUCGGAAUAUAUUUUUACAGCAUUACAAGUUAGACUUCUAUAUAUGCAUGCAGCAGGGUUGGCCUGUUAGACUAAAUAUGUGCAAGUACUUGGGGUUGAGUAAUGCCUC